GACGAACGCUGGCGGCGUGCUUAACACAUGCAAGUCGAACGGAAAGGCCCUUCGGGGUACUCGAGUGGCGAACGGGUGAGUAACACGUGGGUGAUCUGCCCUGCACUUUGGGAUAAGCCUGGGAAACUGGGUCUAAUACCGAAUAGGACCACGCGCUUCAUGGUGUGUGGUGGAAAGCUUUUGCGGUGUGGGAUGGGCCCGCGGCCUAUCAGCUUGUUGGUGGGGUAAUGGCCUACCAAGGCGACGACGGCUAGCCGGCCUGAGAGGGUGACCGGCCACACUGGGACUGAGAUACGGCCCAGACUCCUACGGGAGGCAGCAGUGGGGAAUAUUGCACAAUGGGCGCAAGCCUGAUGCAGCGACGCCGCGUGAGGGAUGACGGCCUUCGGGUUGUAAACCUCUUUCAAUAGGGACGAAGCGCAAGUGACGGUACCUAUAGAAGAAGCACCGGCCAACUACGUG
Molecule: ribosomal RNA, 462 nt
Filed under: uncultured bacterium
Lineage: Bacteria
Description: partial 16S ribosomal RNA
Rfam family: Bacterial small subunit ribosomal RNA
Source: RNAcentral